UACGUAGGGGGCAAGCGUUGUCCGGAAUCAUUGGGCGUAAAGAGCUCGUAGGCGGUUCGGCAAGUCACGUGUGAAAUCUCCACGCUUAACGUGGAGGCGCCACGUGAAACUGCCGUGACUCGAGUCCGGUAGGGGAGUGUGGAAUUCCCGGUGUAGCGGUGAAAUGCGCAGAUAUCGGGAGGAACACCAGUAGCGAAGGCGGCACUCUGGGCCGGUACUGACGCUGAGGAGCGAAAGCGUGGGGAGCGAACAGG
Molecule: ribosomal RNA, 254 nt
Filed under: uncultured bacterium
Lineage: Bacteria
Description: partial 16S ribosomal RNA
Rfam family: Bacterial small subunit ribosomal RNA
Source: RNAcentral